This 565-nucleotide unclassified non-coding RNA is filed under the name Hevea brasiliensis (rubber tree). Lineage: Eukaryota; Viridiplantae; Streptophyta; Magnoliopsida; Malpighiales; Euphorbiaceae. The record is from RNAcentral.
AAAAAAAAAAAAUUGUCUAGUGAAAAGGAUUGCAUUUAAAAAUGAGAUGUGGAAUCUAAAUUACAACACAACAAAAUAUAAACACUUCUACAUAAAACUUGCAGCUCUAACAUCACACUUUCAAUAAAAGCUGAAGCCACUAUUUUGCAAUAACCCCAUUAUGAAAUUGCAUCAUGUAUACAGUACCGAUAAGAUCGACAUUUGUUAUUGGCUAGAAAAUUCACUAGAAAUCAUCUCAAAUCUUCUACUCACACCUAAUACAUGAAAAGCUGGCAUUCCCCGUGACCAAAUUUAAAUGAUAAAAAAUCUAGAGGGUGAUUGAGUCCAUUAGGUUUAUCUUUUCUGUAUCAAAGAAUGAUUAAGAAUCCAUGUAGAAGAGAACAAAAUGGCAAAUUUAUUAGCCUCAAGUUUUGAUUUAGUGGGAUGAUGGUUAAGGGAUUCCAUAUGGUGUUUUUUUUUUUUAAAUCACAAAAAAUAUCUUUUCGUGAAAUUACAAUUUAAUUCAGUUGUUUCAAUUUAAAAUAAUUUGAGCAAAUUGAUUGCAAUUUUAUCCAAUUGAACAAAA